CUGCGGCGGAUUAGCUAGUUGGUGGGGUAACGGCCUACCAAGGCGAUGAUCCGUAGGGGGCGUGAGAGCGUGGCCCCCCACACUGGCACUGAGACACGGGCCAGACUCCUACGGGAGGCAGCAGUGAGGAAUAUUGCACAAUGGGCGGAAGCCUGAUGCAGCAACGCCGCGUGCGGGACGAAGGCCUUCGGGUCGUAAACCGCUUUUCUGGGGAAAGAGCAAGGACGGUACCUCAGGAAUAAGUCUCGGCUAACUACGUGCCAGCAGCCGCGGUAAAACGUAGGAGGCGAGCGUUAUCCGGAUUUACUGGGCGUAAAGCGCACGCAGGCGGCUCCGUGAGUCGGACGUGAAAGCUCUCGGCUUAACCGGGAGAGGCCGUUCGAUACUGCGGGGCUUGAGGUAGGGAGAGGAAUGCGGAAUUCCCGGUGUAGUGGUGGAAUGCGUAGAUAUCGGGAGGAACACCUGUGGCGAAAGCGGCAUUCUGGCCCUCACCUGACGCUGAGGUGCGAAAGCGUGGGUAGCAAACAGGAUUAGAUACCCUGGUAGUCCACGCCGUAAACGAUGUCAACUGGGUGUCGGUAGUUUUACACUAGCGGUGCCGAAGCUAACGCG
Molecule: ribosomal RNA, 612 nt
Filed under: uncultured bacterium
Lineage: Bacteria
Description: bacterial SSU rRNA
Rfam family: Bacterial small subunit ribosomal RNA
Source: RNAcentral